AGUGAACGCUGGCGGCAGGCCUAACACAUGCAAGUCGAACGGCAGCACAGGAGAGCUUGCUCUCUGGGUGGCGAGUGGCGGACGUGAGAGGAAUACAGCGGAAUCUGCUCAGAGGUGGGGGUAAAUGUAGGGAAAGUUACGCUAAUACCGAAUAAGACGUUCGGGUGAAAGUGGGGGAUCGAAAGAUCUAACGGGAUUGGAAGAGCAGAUGUCGGAUUAGCUUGUUGGCGGGGUAAUGGCCCACCAAGACGACGACCCGUAGCUGGACGGAGAGGAUGAUCAGCCACACUGGAACUGGGACACGCUCCAGACUCCUACGGGAGGCACCAGUGGGAAAUUUUGGACAAUGGGCGCAGUCCUGAUCCAGCCAUACCGCGUGGUUGAAGAAGGCCUUCGGGUUUUAAACCCCGUUUGUUGGGAAAGAAAUCUUUCAGACUAAUACCCUGGGAGGAUGACGGUACCCAAAGAAUAAGCGCCGGCUAACUUCGUG
This 490-nucleotide ribosomal RNA is filed under the name uncultured bacterium. Its description in RNAcentral is "partial 16S ribosomal RNA". It matches the Rfam family "Bacterial small subunit ribosomal RNA", at positions 29 to 507 of the family's 1533-position model. The record is from RNAcentral.